UAAUUGAAGAGUUUGAUCAUGGCUCAGAUUGAACGCUGGCGGCAGGCCUAACACAUGCAAGUCGGGCGGUAACAGGGGGAAGCUUGCUUCUCUGCUGACGAGCGGCGGACGGGUGAGUAAUGUAUGGGGAUCUGCCUGAUGG
Molecule: ribosomal RNA, 142 nt
Filed under: Morganella morganii
Lineage: Bacteria; Pseudomonadati; Pseudomonadota; Gammaproteobacteria; Enterobacterales; Morganellaceae
Description: partial 16S ribosomal RNA
Rfam family: Bacterial small subunit ribosomal RNA
Source: RNAcentral